AAGAUUCUAGUAAAAACUAUUACAUUACCUUGUCAGGGUAAUAUUGUGGGUUAAACCCCCACGAGUCUUAA
This 71-nucleotide transfer RNA is filed under the name Glaucostegus granulatus (sharpnose guitarfish). RNAcentral's name for it is "tRNA-Asp". It matches the Rfam family "tRNA". Rfam says of the family: Transfer RNA (tRNA) molecules are approximately 80 nucleotides in length. Their secondary structure includes four short double-helical elements and three loops (D, anti-codon, and T loops). Lineage: Eukaryota; Metazoa; Chordata; Chondrichthyes; Rhinopristiformes; Glaucostegidae. The record is from RNAcentral.